AUGCCGAUUGCGAAGAUGGCGGAGAAGCUGCUAUGCCAGCGCAUGGGCGCCGUGGAUGAAGGCCAGCAAGUCACAGAGAAAGCCAUUCACAAAUUUGUGGCCAUGUUCCAAGGGCAGCUCCCUGACAUCACAGUGGCGGCUCUCCGGGCGCUGUUCAACCUCGCGACGUGGUGGCGAGGCAGGACCGGAGUUGCAGGCGGUGACGGGGGACGCGUCCGGCUUGGCGGAGUGACUGGAGCGUUUGCAGCCCCUGUAGAAGAAGUGCUCUAG
RNAcentral lists this ribosomal RNA (270 nucleotides) under Triticum aestivum (bread wheat). Its description in RNAcentral is "partial small subunit ribosomal RNA". Lineage: Eukaryota; Viridiplantae; Streptophyta; Magnoliopsida; Poales; Poaceae. The record is from RNAcentral.